Molecule: unclassified non-coding RNA, 211 nt
Filed under: Hevea brasiliensis (rubber tree)
Lineage: Eukaryota; Viridiplantae; Streptophyta; Magnoliopsida; Malpighiales; Euphorbiaceae
Source: RNAcentral
AAAAAUGUCAUAGUUUUGUACAACUAAACUCACCCUUAGUUUUCCUUUUGUUUUGGGAAUCAUUUUCUAUCGACCGCUUUUCCUGCUGUCCAAAAAUAACUAAAACUGUGGAAAACAUUUUGCAAUAAACUAUUCUCCCCAAGCUCAAUGGUGGCCAUAGCUAGCUGCAUAUAUGUUGAACUUGAGAGACACAGGAAUGACUCUCCCUCCC